RNAcentral lists this long non-coding RNA (854 nucleotides) under Eptatretus burgeri (inshore hagfish). RNAcentral describes it as "lncRNA (ENSEBUG00000017365.1)". Lineage: Eukaryota; Metazoa; Chordata; Myxini; Myxiniformes; Myxinidae. The record is from RNAcentral.
CUUUGUGCGCCGCAUCACUCUCCAACGUGUGCUGUAUCCCUCCGCCUUGCAACGACGCCAUUUUGUCCUUGCAGGGAGCGAGCGUGCGCUGAACCGUUGACGAUCCGCCAUUUUAUACGGAGGUUACAAGUGUGUUUUGUCGAUCUGUCUCUUACCAGUUGUGUUUCCGAGCGGUAAGUUUUCACGUUAUUUUUAAUUGUGAAACGUGUUUUCAGCGUUUUCCGUUUUUGUUGCAAUCUCUGCGGGUUCGUCGAGCACGUUGCACGAAACGUGAAAGGGAUUUUAAGUUUGAACUUUACCGUUUUAUUUGGUAACCGGUGUGGAUUGAGAGUAAGGAGUUUAGUUGAUCAUAACUAGUGAUGUUUAUUUAAAUUCUGUUUUGUUUUAAACUCGACAGAACAAGCAUGGAGGAUUGGGACGAUGAAUACGUGGCGAGUGAGCAGCCAAAGCUUUCUGCCUCUUUCCUGAAGCUCAAUGUGCAGAAUAGCCAAAAUGAGGCAGAGAAAGAAUCUACCAAACCAAGUCCAUGGAUACCGGGUAAUUUGAGUGCUAGGACGACGGGCCAGUCCAGGGGCGGAUUUCCAUCCAGAGGCCGUGGAAUGUUGCGUCCAGAACAUGGAAACGAUGCCAUUGGUGACGCAGAUGUUGGAACUGGUGGAAGAUGGCCACGGGGGCGACAAAUUAGGGGAGGUUUCCCUCGCAGGAGUCAGGAGGGUGGCCAUUCAGUCUUUGAGAAAGACAAUUUGAGCAGGGGAGCAGGUAUGGGUUUGUCUUGCUUUGAAAGUACGUUCUGCAUUGGUUUCACUGGUUAUUUCUGGCUUGACUGAAUACCGGGCGGGCCGGAAGUCCUUGUG